UACAACGUAGAGUACUGAACU
RNAcentral lists this non-coding RNA (21 nucleotides) under Caenorhabditis elegans. Lineage: Eukaryota; Metazoa; Nematoda; Chromadorea; Rhabditida; Rhabditidae. The record is from RNAcentral.